RNAcentral lists this long non-coding RNA (543 nucleotides) under Lathyrus oleraceus (garden pea). RNAcentral's name for it is "Pisum sativum (pea) long non-coding RNA (PSAT_LNC027895)". The record is from RNAcentral. Lineage: Eukaryota; Viridiplantae; Streptophyta; Magnoliopsida; Fabales; Fabaceae.
UANUCGCAUCCUUCACCACCACCGCAGUGACACUUUGUAAGGACCUCUUUUUCUUUCUCUUUAUGUUUGUUGAUUGAAAAUAUUGUGAGAGCUGAGAGUGAUUGAGAGGGGUUCGUUGAGAACGAGAGUGAGAUUGAGAGAAAUGUGAAGUUUGGUGUGCGUGAGAUUGCCAUUGUUGGGGAAGGUUGAGUUCGUAAGGUGAGAGAGAUGAGAAGAAGACGAGCUUCUGUUUUGUUUUUUUUCUUUUUCGUUUCCAUUUUCUGUUUCCUUUUUUUUAAUUUUUUUUAAUUUGUUUUUUAACAGAGAUAAAAAAAAACAUAAAAAUGUUUAUAGGUUAUUUAUUUUUUUUGUUUUAGCCGGUUGAUAUAUUUAAGGUAGUAUUUCGGUAACAUAUGAUCUUGAGUGGUCUGGUGGAGAGGAGUGAUUUUAUGGUCUUGAGUGGGGUGGGUUCAAUACUCGGGUUUGUUGCUUUGGUUUUCCAACAUUUUUUGAUCUUUCCAUAUUUUUCUAGCCUUACCAUUUAACUAACAUGUUUCUAUCAUU